This 253-nucleotide ribosomal RNA is filed under the name uncultured bacterium. RNAcentral's name for it is "partial 16S ribosomal RNA". It matches the Rfam family "Bacterial small subunit ribosomal RNA", at positions 524 to 776 of the family's 1533-position model. The record is from RNAcentral.
UACAGAGGGUGCAAGCGUUAAUCGGAAUUACUGGGCGUAAAGCGUGCGUAGACGGUUAUGUAAGUCAGAUGUGAAAGCCCCGGGCUUAACCUGGGAAUGGCAUUUGAGACCGCAUAGCUAGGGUGCGGAAGAGGGAAGCGGAAUUUCCGGUGUAGCGGUGAAAUGCGUAGAUAUCGGGAGGAACACCGGUGGCGAAGGCGGGUCUCUGGGCCGAUACUGACGCUGAGGAGCGAAAGCGUGGGGAGCGAACAGG